Molecule: long non-coding RNA, 558 nt
Organism: Oreochromis niloticus (Nile tilapia)
Lineage: Eukaryota; Metazoa; Chordata; Actinopteri; Cichliformes; Cichlidae
Exons: 3
Source: RefSeq, a predicted model, not a curated record
ACCUUGAAAUGAAACCGAAAAAUAUUGAAACUAAAAAAAAAUUGAUAGUGAAAAACAAUUAAUUGAAACCGGAAUUUUUUUUGUUUUCGCUUACAAUUUUUUCUUUCAGUUUCGACCAUUUUUCGGUUUCAAACCAUUUUUCGGUUUCAAUCUGCUGGCACUGUUUUGGCGUCCGGGGGCGCGCUGGGGGGCCGGGGAUUCCGACCCGCAUGUAUUUGCAUAUAUUAUAAAGCUGACGAAUGACUGGAGAAAACACGGACGACGCGGCUGCGGUCACGGACAAACUUCCAUGAGUGUAUUCGGGAAUGGCAGAUGCUGAGAGGUCCAGCGUUUACAUUACCGACUAUUUCAAAGUGACAGCCUGAGGUGUUCUUCAGUAAAUUGGACUACCGGACAGGAGGACCUGAGGCCCCACCACAAUAUUUUCGGAUGCAGCAGCAGACUGAACCAGGACUGAAACCUGCUCCAUCAUCUCAUCUUUGCAGAUGUCCAUUUAUAAAGCAUCAACAACUCAAAGGAGCCGUCCUCAGAUUCAGACCUCAGCACCACCCAGUGACA